GCUUACCAUGCAGUCGAACGAUGAAACCGCUUCGGUGGUGGAUUAGUGGCGAACGGGUGAGUAACACGUGGGCAAUCUGCCCUUCACUCUGGGACAAGCCCUGGAAACGGGGUCUAAUACCGGAUAAUACUCCUGCCUGCAUGGGUGGGGGUUGAAAGCUCCGGCGGUGAAGGAUGAGCCCGCGGCCUAUCAGCUUGUUGGUGGGGUAAUGGCCUACCAAGGCGACGACGGGUAGCCGGCCUGAGAGGGCGACCGGCCACACUGGGACUGAGACACGGCCCAGACUCCUACGGGAGGCAGCAGUGGGGAAUAUUGCACAAUGGGCGAAAGCCUGAUGCAGCGACGCCGCGUGAGGGAUGACGGCCUUCGGGUUGUAAACCUCUUUCAGCAGGGAAGAAGCGCAAGUGACGGUACCUGCAGAAGAAGCGCCGGCUAACUACGUGCCAGCAGCCGCGGUAAUACGUAGGGCGCAAGCGUUGUCCGGAAUUAUUGGGCGUAAAGAGCUCGUAGGCGGCUUGUCACGUCGGAUGUGAAAGCCCGGGGCUUAACCCCGGGUCUGCAUUCGAUACGGGCUAGCUAGAGUGUGGUAGGGGAGAUCGGAAUUCCUGGUGUAGCGGUGAAAUGCGCAGAUAUCAGGAGGAACACCGGUGGCGAAGGCGGAUCUCUGGGCCAUUACUGACGCUGAGGAGCGAAAGCGUGGGGAGCGAACAGGAUUAGAUACCCUGGUAGUCCACGCCGUAAACGUUGGGAACUAGGUGUUGGCGACAUUCCACGUCGUCGGUGCCGCAGCUAACGCA
RNAcentral lists this ribosomal RNA (797 nucleotides) under Streptomyces sp. YIM 61779. Its description in RNAcentral is "bacterial SSU rRNA". It matches the Rfam family "Bacterial small subunit ribosomal RNA", at positions 46 to 859 of the family's 1533-position model. The record is from RNAcentral. Lineage: Bacteria; Bacillati; Actinomycetota; Actinomycetes; Kitasatosporales; Streptomycetaceae.